CAGAACAGCUGUGUACGAGGAGGUCCCUCCUUAAGCACAGUUUGCCUAAACAGCUCUGAACCGGGAUGGUGCCCUAAAAGGGCGUUUCCGGAGUUUAGGGUGAGAACUUACCACUGUGCCUGCUAGUGGGGGCCUUGAGCCUGUUACAUGAAGAGGAGAAUCAUUUGGGAGCCUGCAGCAGUGAUUCUGUUCUUUCAGAGCGUCUGUGGAUUCCCUCUGCUUUUCUGCCUGCCUUGCCAUUGUCAACAAAUGGACCUGAUUACACUUGUACGGUUCAACUCUAGUUGAAAAGAAAAUAAGCCUCUGAACAAAUAAGCAUUUGUUCCUCCAGGUAGCCUGUGAUGCCACUGCAGUGGUGGAUGUUCCCUGAACACGCUGUGCAUUUUCUCACCUCAGGGUCUUCAGUCAAGCUGCUGCAUCUAUGUGGAAUUCCCUGUCUGUCUCCACCAACUGCCAAAUGCUUGCUGAUCUUUCAAGAUGGAAGUGAAAGGACACUACCUCUCCUAAGCUUUCCCUAGUGCCUUCAUGUACCACCAACCCCCAAGUCAAAAUUUACCUCCACCACCUCAGCACUUUCAUAACCUCUGCCUGACCUCUACUUUAGGACGAAAUAAAACUUAUCUUGUUCUAUUAACUGGAUGUAUAGGUUUAAUU
Molecule: long non-coding RNA, 654 nt
Filed under: Homo sapiens (human)
Lineage: Eukaryota; Metazoa; Chordata; Mammalia; Primates; Hominidae
Description: HSALNT0062731
Source: RNAcentral